UGAGGAACAUGACCUUCGGCGGGGGAUAGCCGGCCCAACGGCCGGGUAAUACCGCGUACGACCACAUGGGGACAUCCCUGAGUGGUGAAAGCAGCAAUGCGCCGAUGGAGUGCCUCGCGGCCUAUCAGCUAGUUGGUGAGGUAACGGCUCACCAAGGCAACGAUGCGUAGCCGACCUGAGAGGGUGAUCAGCCACAUUGGAACUGAGACACGGUCCAGAUCCCUACGGG
This 229-nucleotide ribosomal RNA is filed under the name uncultured bacterium. RNAcentral's name for it is "partial 16S ribosomal RNA". It matches the Rfam family "Bacterial small subunit ribosomal RNA", at positions 118 to 345 of the family's 1533-position model. The record is from RNAcentral.